RNAcentral lists this ribosomal RNA (171 nucleotides) under uncultured bacterium. Its description in RNAcentral is "partial 16S ribosomal RNA". It matches the Rfam family "Bacterial small subunit ribosomal RNA", at positions 1330 to 1500 of the family's 1533-position model. The record is from RNAcentral.
AAUUGCUAGUAAUGGCAGGUCAGCAUACUGCCGUGAAUACGUUCCCGGGCCCUUGUACACACCGCCCGUCACACCAUGAGAGUUGGGAAUACCCGAAGCCUGUGAGCUAACUUUUAGAGGCAGCAGUCGAAGGUAGAAUCAAUGAUUGGGGUGAAGUCGUAACAAGGUAGC